This 754-nucleotide ribosomal RNA is filed under the name Stenotrophomonas sp. RNAcentral describes it as "bacterial SSU rRNA". It matches the Rfam family "Bacterial small subunit ribosomal RNA", at positions 386 to 1114 of the family's 1533-position model. The record is from RNAcentral. Lineage: Bacteria; Pseudomonadati; Pseudomonadota; Gammaproteobacteria; Lysobacterales; Lysobacteraceae.
AUCCAGCCAUACCGCGUCGGAUGAUGACGGUCGUUCGGGCUGUAAAGUCCAUUAGUUGGGAAAGGAAUGCAGGCUGCUAAUACCUGGCUGGGAUGACGGUACCCAAAGAAUAAGCACCGGCUACUUUCGUGCCAGCAGCCGCGGUAAUACGAAGGGUGCAAAGCGUUACUCGGAAUUUACUGGGCGUAAAGCGUGCGUAGGUGGUCGUUUAAGUCCGUUGUGAAAGCCCUGGGCUCAACCUGGGAACUGCAGUGGAUACUGGGCGACUAGAGUGUGGUAGAGGGUAGCGGAAUUCCUGGUGUAGCAGUGAAAUGCGUAGAGAUCAGGAGGAACAUCCAUGGCGAAGGCAGCUACCUGGACCAACACUGACACUGAGGCACGAAAGCGUGGGGAGCAAACAGGAUUAGAUACCCUGGUAGUCCACGCCCUAAACGAUGCGAACUGGAUGUUGGGUGCAAUUUGGCACGCAGUAUCGAAGCUAACGCGUUAAGUUCGCCGCCUGGGGAGUACGGUCGCAAGACUGAAACUCAAAGGAAUUGACGGGGGCCCGCACAAGCGGUGGGAGUAUGUGGGUUUAAUUUCGAUGCAACGCGAAGAAACCUUUACCCUGGGCCUUGACAUGUCGAGAACUUUUCCAGAGAAUGGAUGGGUGCCUUCGGGAACUCGAACACAGGUGCUGCAAUGGCUGUCCGUCAGGCUCGUGUCGUGCAGAUGUUGGGUUAAGUCCCGCAACGAGCGCAACCCUUGUCCUUAG